RNAcentral lists this ribosomal RNA (384 nucleotides) under Quedenfeldtia moerens. RNAcentral describes it as "partial 12S ribosomal RNA". It matches the Rfam family "Bacterial small subunit ribosomal RNA", at positions 875 to 1402 of the family's 1533-position model. Lineage: Eukaryota; Metazoa; Chordata; Lepidosauria; Squamata; Sphaerodactylidae. The record is from RNAcentral.
UCAAACACCACCACGAUGUCCGCCAGAAGACUACGAGUGAAAAACUCAAAACUCAAAGGACUUGACGGUGUCCCACAUCAACCUAGAGGAGCCUGUCCUAUAAUCGAUACUCCACGCUUCACCUUACCCCUUCUCGCAGAUCCAACCUAUAUACCGCCGCCGUCAGCUCACCUCGUAAGAGCCCCACUGUGAGCCCCAAAGCCCCUCGCUCUCACGCCAGGUCAAGGUGUAGUCCAUGAGGGGGCAGCGAUGGGCUACAUUUUCUAACCUAGACCACACCCACGCACACAUGAAACAUCUGCCAAAAGGCGGAUUUAGCAGUAAGCACAGCAAGCAUGCUCACCUGAACCCCGCCCUGGGACGCGCACACACCGCCCGUCACCC